GGGUUUGGAGAGCACUGAGCACUUCCAAAGCAAAUCCUCCCUUUUAUUUUGUUCUCCUUCUCCCGCAGGGAAUUCCUGGGACACCUGGACCCAAAGGCAACAAGGUCAGUGCCCCCUUCCCAGGAAAGUCAUGAGCAGAAAUCCUGGGAUGGGAAUGGGACAAAUCCCUGCCUUCUCCUGGCUCCUCAUCCCUGAGCCCAUCCUGCUUCAUCCCAUUCCACCCUCGCUCCCUUCCUCCCACGGUUCCUGGAGCACCCUCCGGAGAGAACAGCAGAAAAUCCAUGGAAUUGGGUCUCCUGAGUCUUCCUGGGACUUCAAUCCUGGCCAAACUAACCAGGAAUUGUGUGGUGGGAUUUCCCUGCUCCCGGUGACACCUCUGGAAUUCUCUGUUUUCCAGGGAGAAGCCGGCGUUGGAGCCGCCGGCCCCAGAGGUCCCCAUGGAUUCCCUGGCCCUCGGGGUGACGAGGGCAUCGUGGGAAUGCGGGGUCCCCCCGGAAUGAUGGGUCCAAAAGGCUUCCCAGGCAUGAAAGGCCAAAGAGUAAGAACUGAUCUUAUCUAAAACUCUUAUCUGCAAUUCUUAUCUUAUCUACAUCUUUUAUCUUCUCCAUUCGGUGUCCUGGUGUUGUGGGGAGCAGCUGCCCUUGUAAACCAGUGGGAAUCAUCCCAAAUCUCCUGGGAAUGG
This 682-nucleotide long non-coding RNA is filed under the name Zonotrichia albicollis (white-throated sparrow). Its description in RNAcentral is "lncRNA (ENSZALG00000000613.1)". Lineage: Eukaryota; Metazoa; Chordata; Aves; Passeriformes; Passerellidae. The record is from RNAcentral.